GGUAUUGCUGAUGACAGUUUGGCUCCCUCUACUGAGUACUGUGAGGAAAACGGCCAUCGUUACCCAAGUCUGUCUGAGAUACU
This is a small nucleolar RNA of Esox lucius (northern pike), 83 nucleotides long. Ensembl annotates it as small nucleolar RNA SNORD100. The record is from Ensembl. NCBI's taxonomy places the organism in Eukaryota, Metazoa, Chordata, Actinopteri, Esociformes, Esocidae.